This 296-nucleotide unclassified non-coding RNA is filed under the name fungal sp. RNAcentral's name for it is "partial internal transcribed spacer region". The stretch from base 1 to 46 matches the Rfam family "Eukaryotic small subunit ribosomal RNA", at positions 1786 to 1831 of the family's 1831-position model. Lineage: Eukaryota; Fungi. The record is from RNAcentral.
AAGUCGUAACAAGGUUUCCGUAGGUGAACCUGCGGAAGGAUCAUUAAAAGAUAACCUUAUGGGUUUUCUAAUCCAUAUCCCACCUCUUGUGCAAUGUCUACUGUUGGUUCCCUUUUGGUGUAGAGAUGGCUAUGCGUUAAAUAAGUGUAUUUGAUGCAUUUGCCGUUUUUCUCUACAAUUGAAGCCGGAAGGGGACUUUUACCUAUACUUUUAAUUUAUGUGUAGUCUCAUUGAUUUGUGCUGAAAAGCAAAAAAUCUAAAUAAACAACUUUCAACAACGGAUCUCUUGGCUCCCA